UACGUAGGGUGCGAGCGUUGUCCGGAAUUAUUGGGCGUAAAGCGCUCGUAGGCGGUUUGUCGCGUCGGGAGUGAAAACCAGGUGCUUAACACCUGGCUUGCUUUCGAUACGGGCAGACUAGAGGUAUUCAGGGGAGAACGGAAUUCCUGGUGUAGCGGUGAAAUGCGCAGAUAUCAGGAGGAACACCGGUGGCGAAGGCGGUUCUCUGGGAAUGACCUGACGCUGAGGAGCGAAAGUGUGGGGAGCGAACAGG
This 253-nucleotide ribosomal RNA is filed under the name uncultured bacterium. RNAcentral describes it as "partial 16S ribosomal RNA". It matches the Rfam family "Bacterial small subunit ribosomal RNA", at positions 524 to 776 of the family's 1533-position model. The record is from RNAcentral.